This 4014-nucleotide long non-coding RNA is filed under the name Carassius auratus (goldfish). RNAcentral's name for it is "lncRNA (ENSCARG00000017376.1)". The record is from RNAcentral. Lineage: Eukaryota; Metazoa; Chordata; Actinopteri; Cypriniformes; Cyprinidae.
AGAAAGAAGUUAAAUGUCUAUUGGCCAGGGGACUUUAGCCAGUAUUAACCACAAACAAUAACACAUCUACAUGCAGUGGGGGCUUUAACAUGUCACAUGACCUUGAUCUUGGUGUGUGUGUGUGUGUGUGUGUGUGUGUAAACGUGGCCGCAGCAUGUUAAAUAGAUGCAUUCUGACAGGAAAUCGAGGAAGACAUGCUGACUGUCAACACUUGACUUUUAACAUAACAAAAUAAGGUCAUAAUUAUCUGUUGAAGCCAUUCAUUGUGCUUAUAUCAGGAACAACUCCACUCCAUCACAAAUCUACUCUAAACAUAAGAGCAGCUAUCCAUUAGGUAUCCUUUUCUGUUCACUUGGGGGGGGGGGGGUGAGUAGUGGGUUGCACUUCACAGCUUAAGCGAAACCGAGCAACUGUUGACUCAGACAGAGUAGGCUAGAGAUGUAAGACAACGAAGAUAAACCAGUUUCCUGUCUCUCUGGUGGUUGGAGCUCACUUCCUGUGCCUCUUCUGCUUCACUCGUUUCACGUUUCUGUCAUCUGUGAGACUUUUGUUCUCACAGAAAUGGAUUUUGUGAUGACAGAGCCAGCUUAUAAACUUCUUAUCUUUUUAUUCAUGAUACGAGGAAUGUACGGAGAUAUUAUAAAUUAUUAUCCCACCGCAACUGCUGUGGAGGGACAGAACAUCAGCCUGCAGUGCAUUGUGGGAGAGGAGCAAAACUUCACAAUUAUCCAGCUGGAGUGGAUUAAACAGCGAAAGGACAAAGAGAUGACUGAUCAGAAGAUUGCUGUGUUCCAUCCUGGGUUCCCAAUAAAUUAUUUUCAAUCUGGUUUUCUUCUGGAGACAGUGACCAGUUCAAAAACUAGGAAGCUGCAGGGCUCAAUCCUGACUCUGCGUGAAGUUAGAGUGAAGGACAGUGGAAACUAUAUUUGUGAAAUCACUUCUUAUCCCACUGGAUCAAUUAAAAGAAUCACAAAGCUGCAAGUUACAGAGCCUCCAGCAUCAGUGAAGAUGUCAUAUCCAUAUGGAUUCAUAAAAGAGGGGGAUGUUAUGAAAAUAACUUGUUCAGCGAUCCCUCCACCACUCCGUUAUAAACUAAAACGUUCAAAGAACAAGAUAUUUUGGCUGGAAAGCUCAAACGGAGAGUUCACUUUACCACAUGUCACCAGAAAUGACAGCGAUAUGUACAUCUGUUUACCUGAAUGGGACUCAUUAGUCCCAAAUCUGCAAGGCCUCAAUGCCACCGUCGAAGUGACUGUCAAUUUUCUUGAUGACAUUAAGUGUAACACAAGCAGCUCUUUAAACGUCAGCGCUGGUGAAGAUGUGGCCAUUUCUUGUAUCGCAAAAGCUUCACAGUACUUGCAGUAUAAGUGGAUGAGGGGUGACACAACACUGUCUCUCUCAGACACUUUGUCUCUGACCUCCGUAACAUCUGAGCAGUCAGGAACUUACAAACUGACAGCUGUCUUUCUGGACAAUCAACUCCAGACAGACAUUGAGAUUUCUAUCCAGGUUCUCCCAAAGCAAAGUGAAGGAAUGACUACACCUUUGCCAGUAAGGACCACCAAACAUCUAAGCAGCUUUACCUCCGAUGGGACCAGCUCAUGGAGCACUGAUACCAGCGUGUCUACAUCAGAAUCUGGUCACUUCCUAACCAGCACAGUGAAACCAAAUGACACUCUGACAACCUUACAACCCAGAAACACCAGCCAUCCCGCUCCUCUCACUGACAGCUCUUCUCCUCCACCUGUUGGCAAUGCCUCUACAUUACAUGCAAGCACUGUAAAAUUUAUCAACACCUCUACAGACAGUUUGAGCACAACUCCAGAUCCAGCUACAAGAGGAAGAGAAAGCCCCACCACAGUUACAACACAGAAAAGCAUCACCGCUUUUACAACACCAAAAGCCUCAAAAAGCUCAGCAUACAUCGCUGUCCCGAUUGUGUUGCUGUUGCUCGGGUUGAUUGUGCUUCUAUACAGAAGACAUCAGAACCAAAAAAGAAUGGAUAUGCCUCCUCCAUUCAAACCUCCCCCACCACCGGUGAAAUACACGUCAAUGAAAAACCAUGAUGUCCCUAUGACUGAUAUUCUAGUGUGAACUCAUCAUACCACAUAUCAUGGGCCACAAAUAUGCUGACAAGAAGAUUUUCCCUAAAGGUCUCAGCUAGAAAUGAAAAUUGGUUCAUCAAUUAUAUUUAAUCAAUACUUUGAUGCUUCAAAAUGUUUAUAAAGACUUUGUAAAUAUUGUCAAUAUGCAACAAAGAGUUUAUUUUCAGUAGUCUUUGUCAGGAUCCAGCCGUUAAGUCUUUUCUGUCCUGUCUUUGUUCAUUAUAUCUGUUUAUUUUGUGCCUGUCUCCUUGUUACUCAUUACCAAGCCCAAGAAAAUAAUUUCACACAUUAGAAAGUUCUUCAAGCAAUCAGAUUCCAUCUUUCAACAGCCCUGUCGUAUAAAUGAUAUUAAUUCCAUGGUUUUGCUACAAAAUAAAAUUGUAUAGCACAUUUUAAAGCACAUACUACUCCUGCUCUCUCUCCAAUACAAACAUACCCACAGUACAAUUACAAACUUGCAAACACAGAAACACAUGCACAUGCACAGAAACAUUUUGUCAGCACUGUGUUGAAUUUUUCUUCAGUAAAUGGUUUAGAUUAGAAACUUAAAAGCUACAUAAUAUUUCUCACUAGUUAGAAAAUAACAGCACUGUUCUUGAAGCAGAUUAAUUUACAGUUUCGCUCUUAGCAGAGACUGCAUCACCUCCUUGGGUGUGCAUUACUUUCUAGCAGGCACGUGCACACAUAGACAUCAAAGGGGGCUUGAGCACCUGCCCUUUUUAUUCCUGGAGAGAAAGUGCCCUUUUUUCUGGGGUGCUUUUUGUUUGUUUUUUUUUUGAAAAAAAUAAUAUAUAUUCCUGUUUGCGCACAGCUUCCCUGUCAAACAAAUAUAUUUAUUGAAGAAUAAUAUAUCUAAAUAUCAGGUCAGGAGUUCUGAAGCGCUCUUCAAUAUUUAUAAAUUAACUUUUUAUUUAUGAACUUUUUUUUAUUUCCUCUAAACCUUUAUAAAAUAAUAUUCUAUACAACCACAAAUACAUACAUGACAUUGGCUUUUAUUUAAUUUUUACUCAAUUAUUUUGGUAAGUUUAAUUCAAACAAUCAAGUAAGAUUUUCUGAGAUUUUAUUAAGUUAAUUAAGUUAAAUAUUUACUAAGCCACAUAAUAUUUUUUGAGUGUAGUAGGUUUAAAACAAACUCCAUCUAAAUGUGGAUUUUGAAGGUUUUAUUUGAUGAUGGUGAUGAUACAGUCCUCCCUCAAAUGUGAAACUAAGUCCUUGUCAGUCACCAUCAGUUAUUGUGUAUGUGUACAUGCAUAGCAAUGAUAAUAUUAAUGUAUUUGAUUUAAAACAUUAAGGCAAUUCAGUAUUCUGAUGCUUAGUUGUGUGAAGCUAAAAAGUUAUUUUGCUUGUGAAACAAAAAGUAUUUAAACAAUUAAUUUUAAUCAUGCUUGCAGUGCAGGGCCAGGCAGGCAGCAUAAUGCAAAGUUAAACAAAAUAGCAGCGACAACCCUCUUCAGUUUAGAGUGAAUAUUUGUGUUGAUUUAAAAGUGUUAUGUGUUCUGAUAACACCAAAAUAACUAAAAUGAUGUAGUGCCUUGUGCAAAAAUAAUAAACAAAUUAUGAGUAAAACACACCCCUCUGCUUGAUGCAGUUAUUUUGGUUAUUCUAAAUAUAUACUUGAAGCUAUAGCAUAGAAAAUGUUUUCAAAACAUGCACAUUGUGGGAUGGUUUCCUUUGCUGCUCUAUAAACCUAGUGAAUACUAAGGAGACCAGGGUUUCUGUGUGAACUGAUUAUUUUGUGGACAUCUUUUGAAAAUUAGAGUUUGAGGAACUUUUUUUAUAAUUUUUUUUAAAAGGAAGUCAGUGUUGCGUUAAUAUAUAUACUUUUUUGUUUUAAAAAAAAAUAAAAAAUAAAUACAUAAUUAUGAGAAGUGCCCUUUAUUUCACUUGAGCCCCUGCCCCUCAAAAUGUC